This 494-nucleotide ribosomal RNA is filed under the name uncultured bacterium. Its description in RNAcentral is "bacterial SSU rRNA". It matches the Rfam family "Bacterial small subunit ribosomal RNA", at positions 19 to 507 of the family's 1533-position model. The record is from RNAcentral.
AUGGCUCAGAUUGAACGCUGGCGGCAUGCCUUACACAUGCAAGUCGAACGGCAGCACGGGAGCUUGCUCCUGGUGGCGAGUGGCGAACGGGUGAGUAAUACAUCGGAACGUACCCUGGAGUGGGGAUAACGUAGCGAAAGUUACGCUAAUACCGCAUAUUCUGUGAGCAGGAAAGAGGGGGAUCGCAAGACCUCUUGCUUUAGGAGCGGCCGAUGUCGGAUUAGCUAGUUGGUGAGGUAAAGGCUCACCAAGGCGACGAUCCGUAGCGGGUCUGAGAGGAUGAUCCGCCACACUGGGACUGAGACACGGCCCAGACUCCUACGGGAGGCAGCAGUGGGGAAUUUUGGACAAUGGGCGCAAGCCUGAUCCAGCCAUGCCGCGUGAGUGAAGAAGGCCUUCGGGUUGUGAAGCUCUUUCGGUGGGGAAGAAAUGGCACGGGUUAAUACCCUGUGUUGAUGACGGUACCCGCAUAAGAAGCACCGGCUAACUACGUG